CAGCAGCCGCGGUAAUACGAAGGGGGCUAGCGUUGCUCGGAAUCACUGGGCGUAAAGGGUGCAUAGGCGGGUCUUUAAGUCAGGGGUGAAAUCCUGGAGCUCAACUCCAGAACUGCCUUUGAUACUGAAGAUCUUGAGUUCGGGAGAGGUGAGUGGAACUGCGAGUGUAGAGGUGAAAUUCGUAGAUAUUCGCAAGAACACCAGUGGCGAAGGCGGCUCACUGGCCCGAUACUGACGCUGAGGCACGAAAGCGUGGGGAGCAAACAGGAUUAGAUACCCCAGUAGUCCCUGUCUCUUAUAC
RNAcentral lists this ribosomal RNA (301 nucleotides) under uncultured bacterium. Its description in RNAcentral is "partial 16S ribosomal RNA". It matches the Rfam family "Bacterial small subunit ribosomal RNA", at positions 509 to 807 of the family's 1533-position model. The record is from RNAcentral.